RNAcentral lists this ribosomal RNA (1373 nucleotides) under uncultured bacterium. Its description in RNAcentral is "bacterial SSU rRNA". It matches the Rfam family "Bacterial small subunit ribosomal RNA", at positions 28 to 1381 of the family's 1533-position model. The record is from RNAcentral.
GAUGAACGCUGGCGGCGUGCCUAAUACAUGCAAGUCGAGCGAACGGACGAGAAGCUUGCUUCUCUGAUGUUAGCGGCGGACGGGUGAGUAACACGUGGAUAACCUACCUAUAAGACUGGGAUAACUUCGGGAAACCGGAGCUAAUACCGGAUAAUAUUUUGAACCGCAUGGUUCAAAAGUGAAAGACGGUCUUGCUGUCACUUAUAGAUGGAUCCGCGCUGCAUUAGCUAGUUGGUAAGGUAACGGCUUACCAAGGCAACGAUGCAUAGCCGACCUGAGAGGGCGAUCGGCCACACUGGAACUGAGACACGGUCCAGACUCCUACGGGAGGCAGCAGUAGGGAAUCUUCCGCAAUGGGCGAAAGCCUGACGGAGCAACGCCGCGUGAGUGAUGAAGGUCUUCGGAUCGUAAAACUCUGUUAUUAGGGAAGAACAUAUGCGUAAGUAACUGUGCACAUCUUGACGGUACCUAAUCAGAAAGCCACGGCUAACUACGUGCCAGCAGCCGCGGUAAUACGUAGGUGGCAAGCGUUAUCCGGAAUUAUUGGGCGUAAAGCGCGCGUAGGGCGGUUUUUUAAGUCUGAUGUGAAAGCCCACGGCUCAACCGUGGAGGGUCACUGGAAACUGGAAAACUUGAGUGCAGAAGAGGAAAGUGGAAUCCCAUGUGUAGCGGUGAAAUGCGCAGAGAUAUGGAGGAACACCAGUGGCGAAGGCGACUUUCUGGUCUGUAACUGACGCUGAUGUGCGAAAGCGUGGGGAUCAAACAGGAUUAGAUACCCUGGUAGUCCACGCCGUAAACGAUGAGUGCUAAGUGUUAGGGGGUUUCCGCCCCUUAGUGCUGCAGCUAACGCAUUAAGCACUCCGCCUGGGGAGUACGACCGCAAGGUUGAAACUCAAAGGAAUUGAUGGGGACCCGCACAAGCGGUGGAGCAUGUGGUUUAAUUCGAAGCAACGCGAAGAACCUUACCAAAUCUUGACAUCCUUUGACAACUCUAGAGAUAGAGCCUUCCCCUUCGGGGGACAAAGUGACAGGUGGUGCAUGGUUGUCGUCAGCUCGUGUCGUGAGAUGUUGGGUUAAGUCCCGCAACGAGCGCAACCCUUAAGCUUAGUUGCCAUCAUUAAGUUGGGCACUCUAAGUUGACUGCCGGUGACAAACCGGAGGAAGGUGGGGAUGACGUCAAAUCAUCAUGCCCCUUAUGAUUUGGGCUACACACGUGCUACAAUGGACAAUACAAAGGGCAGCGAAACCGCGAGGUCAAGCAAAUCCCAUAAAGUUGUUCUCAGUUCGGAUUGUAGUCUGCAACUCGACUACAUGAAGCUGGAAUCGCUAGUAAUCGUAGAUCAGCAUGCUACGGUGAAUACGUUCCCGGGUCU